This 442-nucleotide ribosomal RNA is filed under the name uncultured bacterium. RNAcentral's name for it is "partial 16S ribosomal RNA". It matches the Rfam family "Bacterial small subunit ribosomal RNA", at positions 338 to 795 of the family's 1533-position model. The record is from RNAcentral.
CCUACGGGUGGCAGCAGUGGGGGAUAUUGCACAAUGGGGGAAACCCUGAUCCAGCGACGCCGCGUGGGCGAAGAAGUAUUUCGGUAUGUAAAGCCCUAUCAGCAGGGAAGAAGAAAUGACGGUACCUGAGUAAGAAGCACCGGCUAAAUACGUGCCAGCAGCCGCGGUAAUACGGAGGGUGCAGGCGUUAUCCGGAUUUACAGGGUGCAAAGGGAGCGCAGGCGGUACGGCAAGCCUGAUGUGAAAGCCCGCGGCCCAACCGCGGGACUGCAGUGGAAACUACCGGGCUGGAGUGCAGGAGAGGUAGGCGGAAUUCGUAGUGUAGCGGUGAAAUGCGUAGAUAUUAGGAGGAACACCAGUGGCGAAGGCGGCCUACUAGACGGUGACUGACGCUGAGGCUCGAAAGCGUGGGGAGCAAACAGGAUUAGAUACCCUUGUAGUC